RNAcentral lists this ribosomal RNA (1729 nucleotides) under Vibrio cholerae. RNAcentral describes it as "partial 23S ribosomal RNA". It matches the Rfam family "Bacterial large subunit ribosomal RNA", at positions 1217 to 2925 of the family's 2925-position model. The record is from RNAcentral. Lineage: Bacteria; Pseudomonadati; Pseudomonadota; Gammaproteobacteria; Vibrionales; Vibrionaceae. RNAcentral also lists the same sequence under 1 other name.
UUAGAUAUUGGGUAGGGGAGCGUUCUGUAAGCCGUUGAAGGUGAAUCGUAAGGUUUGCUGGAGGUAUCAGAAGUGCGAAUGCUGACAUGAGUAACGACAAAGGGGGUGAAAAACCUCCUCGCCGGAAGACCAAGGGUUCCUGUCCAACGUUAAUCGGGGCAGGGUGAGUCGACCCCUAAGGUGAGGCCGAAAGGCGUAAUCGAUGGGAAACGGGUUAAUAUUCCCGUACUUCUGACUAUUGCGAUGGGGGGACGGAGAAGGCUAGGUGGGCCAGGCGACGGUUGUCCUGGUUCAAGUGCGUAGGCUUGAGAGUUAGGUAAAUCCGGCUCUCUCUAAGGCUGAGACACGACGUCGAGCUACUACGGUAGUGAAGUCAUUGAUGCCAUGCUUCCAGGAAAAGCCUCUAAGCUUCAGAUAGUCAGGAAUCGUACCCCAAACCGACACAGGUGGUCGGGUAGAGAAUACCAAGGCGCUUGAGAGAACUCGGGUGAAGGAACUAGGCAAAAUGGUACCGUAACUUCGGGAGAAGGUACGCUCUUGAUGGUGAAGUCCCUCGCGGAUGGAGCUGACGAGAGUCGCAGAUACCAGGUGGCUGCAACUGUUUAUUAAAAACACAGCACUGUGCAAAAUCGCAAGAUGACGUAUACGGUGUGACGCCUGCCCGGUGCCGGAAGGUUAAUUGAUGGGGUUAGCGCAAGCGAAGCUCUUGAUCGAAGCCCCGGUAAACGGCGGCCGUAACUAUAACGGUCCUAAGGUAGCGAAAUUCCUUGUCGGGUAAGUUCCGACCUGCACGAAUGGCGUAAUGAUGGCCACGCUGUCUCCACCCGAGACUCAGUGAAAUUGAAAUCGCUGUGAAGAUGCAGUGUACCCGCGGCUAGACGGAAAGACCCCGUGAACCUUUACUACAGCUUGGCACUGAACAUUGAACCUACAUGUGUAGGAUAGGUGGGAGGCUAUGAAGACGUGACGCCAGUUGCGUUGGAGCCGUCCUUGAAAUACCACCCUUGUAUGUUUGAUGUUCUAACUUAGACCCAUUAUCUGGGUUGAGGACAGUGCCUGGUGGGUAGUUUGACUGGGGCGGUCUCCUCCCAAAGAGUAACGGAGGAGCACGAAGGUGGGCUAAUCACGGUUGGACAUCGUGAGGUUAGUGCAAUGGCAUAAGCCCGCUUAACUGCGAGAAUGACGGUUCGAGCAGGUGCGAAAGCAGGUCAUAGUGAUCCGGUGGUUCUGUAUGGAAGGGCCAUCGCUCAACGGAUAAAAGGUACUCCGGGGAUAACAGGCUGAUACCGCCCAAGAGUUCAUAUCGACGGCGGUGUUUGGCACCUCGAUGUCGGCUCAUCACAUCCUGGGGCUGAAGUCGGUCCCAAGGGUAUGGCUGUUCGCCAUUUAAAGUGGUACGCGAGCUGGGUUUAGAACGUCGUGAGACAGUUCGGUCCCUAUCUGCCGUGGGCGUUGGAAGAUUGAAGGGGGCUGCUCCUAGUACGAGAGGACCGGAGUGGACGAACCUCUGGUGUUCGGGUUGUGUCGCCAGACGCAUUGCCCGGUAGCUAAGUUCGGAAUUGAUAAGCGCUGAAAGCAUCUAAGCGCGAAGCGAGCCCUGAGAUGAGUCUUCCCUGACAGUUUAACUGUCCUAAAGGGUUGUUCGAGACUAGAACGUUGAUAGGCAGGGUGUGUAAGCGUUGUGAGGCGUUGAGCUAACCUGUACUAAUUGCCCGUGAGGCUUAACCAU